This 471-nucleotide ribosomal RNA is filed under the name uncultured bacterium. RNAcentral describes it as "bacterial SSU rRNA". It matches the Rfam family "Bacterial small subunit ribosomal RNA", at positions 917 to 1382 of the family's 1533-position model. The record is from RNAcentral.
GGGCCCGCACAAGCGGUGGAGCAUGUGGUUCAAUUCGAUGCUGAGCGAAGAACCUUACCUGGGCUUGACAUGCAGGAAGUAGAAACCGGAAACGGGGACGACCUGUUAAGUCAGGAGCCUGCACAGGUGGUGCAUGGCUGUCGUCAGCUCGUGCCGUGAGGUGUUGGGUUAAGUCCCGCAACGAGCGCAACCCUCACUCUAUGUUGCCAUCGGGUAAUGCCGGGCACUCUUAGGGAACCGCCGGCGAAGAGCUGGAGGAAGGGGGGGAUGACGUCAAGUCCGUAUGCCCCUUAUGUCCAGGGCUACACACAUGCUACAAUGGCCGAUACAGAGGGUUCCCAACCCGCGAGGGGGAGGCAAUCCCACAAAGUCGGUCUCAGUUCGGAUUGCAGGCUGCAACUCGCCUGCAUGAAGUCGGAAUCGCUAGUAAGCGCAGAUCAGCAGGCUGCGCUGAAUACGUUCCCGGGCCUU